GAUGAACGCUGGCGGCGUGCUUAACACAUGCAAGUCGAACGAUGAAGCCCAGCUUGCUGGGUGGAUUAGUGGCGAACGGGUGAGUAACACGUGAGUAACCUGCCCUUGACUCUGGGAUAAGCCUGGGAAACUGGGUCUAAUACUGGAUAUGACUUCUCACCGCAUGGUGGGGGGUGGAAAGAUUUAUUGGUCUUGGAUGGACUCGCGGCCUAUCAGCUUGUUGGUGAGGUAAUGGCUCACCAAGGCGACGACGGGUAGCCGGCCUGAGAGGGUGACCGGCCACACUGGGACUGAGACACGGCCCAGACUCCUACGGGAGGCAGCAGUGGGGAAUAUUGCACAAUGGGCGCAAGCCUGAUGCAGCGACGCCACGUGAGGGAUGACGGCCUUCGGGUUGUAAACCUCUUUCAGUAGGGAAGAAAGCGAAAGUGACGGUACCUGCAGAAG
Molecule: ribosomal RNA, 447 nt
Filed under: Micrococcus sp. oral taxon B64
Lineage: Bacteria; Bacillati; Actinomycetota; Actinomycetes; Micrococcales; Micrococcaceae
Description: bacterial SSU rRNA
Rfam family: Bacterial small subunit ribosomal RNA
Source: RNAcentral